RNAcentral lists this long non-coding RNA (625 nucleotides) under Brassica rapa (field mustard). RNAcentral's name for it is "long non-coding RNA (BRAP_LNC006180)". The record is from RNAcentral. Lineage: Eukaryota; Viridiplantae; Streptophyta; Magnoliopsida; Brassicales; Brassicaceae.
UGUAUUAGACUGAAAGAUAUUUCAUAAUUUUCUAAUUUGUGGACGGACAAAAUGCUUAAUUCAGGGGUUGCUUAUAAAAAGGUAAGAAAAUAACACCUUAACUGGUAUAGACGAUUCUCUAUAGGUGUCCAGAUAUCACCAGGCAGGAAACACCUUAAUAUGUGGCCAACACAUUCUACCAAAAGAGAUCCUUUUAAACAUUUUAUUAUUUAAAUCUGAAAAGUUGGAUCUUACAGAUUAUUACCCUCUUCAAAACGUAAUUGUCUAUGGUGUGAACUUCUGAAUGUGCAUUUUUUUUUUUUUGAUAACUCUGAUAUAUGGGCAGCCACAUUCCUAACUAUCCCCUCGAAAGGGGUCCAGCGCCCCAACGGAAGGGAUGUUAAAUCCGUUGUGGCCAAGACUCGAAUCCGGGUGGCGGGCAAUACAGCUGUACCUCUUUUACCACCAAGAUACGAGCGCUUUAUUUAUUUCAAAUAUUAUUCUGAAUGUGCAUUAUUUUGUAAAAUACUUUUUUUUUGGAGAAAAGAGCUUAUUAGGCAAACUGUUCUGUCUCUGGUCAGCUUUCAAGAAAUUUCCAAAAGAAUGCAUCAGCAUUCUGUUAUUUUUAUAUGUUGUUAUUACAGAU